Molecule: long non-coding RNA, 726 nt
Organism: Pipra filicauda (Wire-tailed manakin)
Lineage: Eukaryota; Metazoa; Chordata; Aves; Passeriformes; Pipridae
Exons: 4
Source: RefSeq, a predicted model, not a curated record
GGGACCGCCCUCCCCUCACGGGAAAACGUGGUCUGCACGGAAGGGAAGGGCUCCUCUUCCCCUCACGGGCAAAGGCCACCUUCCCCUCACGGGAAAAGCUCCCCUCCCCUCACGGGCAAAGGUGUUCCAGCAGUACCUGCCAUUCCCAAAGAAGAGAUCUGCUGACAGACAUCCCUGCCUUUCUGUGCUGUGAGCUUCUUGCCACUGCAGAAGAUACUUGGCUACCGAGAUGAAGUCUGUCACACAAAGCCUAAAACAGAAGCACGCCAGAGUACAGCAGUGCUCAGUGUCCUUCCUGCAGCCAGAGGUAUCCCCAAACCCCAGGGAGCAGGGAUCCCUUGUCCAGGAAGCAUGACUGCCUGUGUGGGAGCUGGAGGAACAGCUUGCUGCCUUCAGGUACCAAAGAGAGGGACAGGAAUUCAUUUGCAAGCCUUAUGUAAUAUCCAGCCCUGCCAAGAGGUGCAUGCUGGGGGCUCCCUCUCCCCACACAGCACUCCAGGAUUCAGGAAUGCCUCCGCUUCCUUAUCUUUGCAGAAGGCAAGCACAGACCUCCUACAAGAUCCUCUCCCACCUCUACUGUGCAUCUGUUCAUUUUCUGCCUGUCAAGGCUCUUCAGAAUUUAAAAGAUCUUGCAGGAGAUAGGAGAACAAGAUUUCAAGUUUGAGCGCAUCAGAUCCGAUGUGAAACAUGAAUUUUUAUUGCUUGACUUAUUUUUCUUACUUUUUU